This 492-nucleotide ribosomal RNA is filed under the name uncultured bacterium. RNAcentral describes it as "partial 16S ribosomal RNA". It matches the Rfam family "Bacterial small subunit ribosomal RNA", at positions 29 to 507 of the family's 1533-position model. The record is from RNAcentral.
AGUGAACGCUGGCGGUAGGCCUAACACAUGCAAGUCGAACGGCAGCACAGUAAGAGCUUGCUCUUACGGGUGGCGAGUGGCGGACGGGUGAGGAAUACAUCGGAAUCUACUUUUUCGUGGGGGAUAACGUAGGGAAACUUACGCCAAUACCGCAUACGACCUACGGGUGAAAGCAGGGGAUCUUCGGACCUUGCGCGAUUGAAUGAGCCGAUGUCGGAUUAGCUAGUUGGCGGGGUAAAGGCCCACCAAGGCGACGAUCCGUAGCUGGUCUGAGAGGAUGAUCAGCCACACUGGAACUGAGACACGGUCCAGACUCCUACGGGAGGCAGCAGUGGGGAAUAUUGGACAAUGGGCGCGAGCCUGAUCCAGCCAUACCGCGUGGGUGAAGAAGGCCUUCGGGUUGUAAAGCCCUUUUGUUGGGAAAGAAAAGCAGCAGGUUAAUACCCCGCUGUUCUGACGGUACCCAAAGAAUAAGCACCGGCUAACUUCGUG